This 652-nucleotide ribosomal RNA is filed under the name uncultured archaeon. RNAcentral describes it as "bacterial SSU rRNA". It matches the Rfam family "Archaeal small subunit ribosomal RNA", at positions 325 to 973 of the family's 1478-position model. The record is from RNAcentral.
ACGGGGUGCAGCAGGCGCGAAAACUCCGCAAUGCGCGCAAGCGUGACGGGGGAAUCCCAAGUGCCGUUGGUCUUAUGAUCGACGGUUUUUAGGAAGUCUAAGAAGCUUCCAGAAUAAGGGCUGGGCAAGACUGGUGCCAGCCGCCGCGGUAACACCAGCAGCCCAAGUGGUGACCACGAUUAUUGGGCCUAAAGCGCUCGUAGCCGGAUCAGCAAGUCCCUUGUGAAAUCGGGCCGCCUAACGGUUCGGCGUGCAAGGGAUACUGUUGGUCUUGAGGCCGGGAGAGGUCGGAGGUACUCCUGGGGUAGCGGUGAAAUGCUCUAAUCCUAGGGGGACCACCAGUGGCGAAGGCGUCCGACCAGAACGGACCUGACGGUGAGGGGCGAAGGCUAGGGGAGCGAACGGGAUUAGAUACCCCGGUAGUCCUCGCUGUAAAGCAUGCGGGCCAGGUGUCUAGCGCUCCUUGAGGGCGCUAGGUGCCGGAGGGAAGCCGUUAAGCCCGCCGCCUGGGAAGUACGGCCGCAAGGCUGAAACUUAAAGAAAUUGGCGGGGGAGCACCACAAGAGGUGGGACCUGCGGUUCAAUUGGAUUCAACGCCGGANAACUCACCAGGGGCGACAGCUGGUUGACGGCCAGAUUGACGAUCUUGCCC